This 507-nucleotide ribosomal RNA is filed under the name Salmonella enterica. Its description in RNAcentral is "partial 23S ribosomal RNA". It matches the Rfam family "Bacterial large subunit ribosomal RNA", at positions 1 to 548 of the family's 2925-position model. The record is from RNAcentral. RNAcentral also lists the same sequence under 2 other names. Lineage: Bacteria; Pseudomonadati; Pseudomonadota; Gammaproteobacteria; Enterobacterales; Enterobacteriaceae.
GUUAAGCGACUAAGCGUACACGGUGGAUGCCCUGGCAGUCAGAGGCGAUGAAGGGCGUGCUAAUCUGCGAUAAGCGCCGGUAAGGUGAUAUGAACCGUUAUAACCGGCGAUACCCGAAUGGGGAAACCCAGUGUGAUUCGUCACACUAUCAUUAACUGAAUCCAUAGGUUAAUGAGGCGAACCGGGGGAACUGAAACAUCUAAGUACCCCGAGGAAAAGAAAUCAACCGAGAUUCCCCCAGUAGCGGCGAGCGAACGGGGAGGAGCCCAGAGCCUGAAUCAGCAUGUGUGUUAGUGGAAGCGUCUGGAAAGGCGCGCGAUACAGGGUGACAGCCCCGUACACAAAAGCGCAUGUGCUGUGAGCUCGAUGAGUAGGGCGGGACACGUGGUAUCCUGUCUGAAUAUGGGGGGACCAUCCUCCAAGGCUAAAUACUCCUGACUGACCGAUAGUGAACCAGUACCGUGAGGGAAAGGCGAAAAGAACCCCGGCGAGGGGAGUGAAAAAGAA